Dermochelys coriacea (leatherback sea turtle) is the source of this 433-nucleotide long non-coding RNA. RefSeq lists it as uncharacterized. NCBI's taxonomy places the organism in Eukaryota, Metazoa, Chordata, Testudines, Dermochelyidae. The record is from RefSeq and is a predicted model, not a curated record. The transcript has 3 exons.
CUGAUUGACCUGUAGUCACCCCUCCUCAGUUGACAGGGAGGAGGACUUUUUACCCUUCUGGGACUGUUUUCUACCCCACCCCUGCAACUGUCUGUCUUGAGUUUAUCACAACAUCCAGUCCAGCUCUUGGUCUCAAUGAUAUCCGAUGGUAAUGAGUUCCUGAGGCUAGCUGUGCAUUGUGAGCAUGGCUGAAACAACCAGUACAGGAAGAAAACAAGACCAACCGGAAACAGUGCCCAGUUCCAGCCUCCCCAGAACUGUGACCUAGGGCCAGGAGAAGCCAGCACCAGAAGGAGGGCAACAGAGGGAUCUAGAAGCAACAUCCUUAGCCUUUCUGGAGGGACUGGGGAAGGGGAGCAGCUGAGAACAUGAACAGAAUCUGCUGGAAUUGGAGAGGUGGGAGAAGAGCCUUAAAGCUAGUAACAGAAGUGUG